This 56-nucleotide microRNA precursor is filed under the name Heligmosomoides polygyrus. RNAcentral's name for it is "microRNA hpo-mir-10034 precursor (hpo-mir-10034-1)". Lineage: Eukaryota; Metazoa; Nematoda; Chromadorea; Rhabditida; Heligmosomidae. The record is from miRBase by way of RNAcentral.
UGGGAAGCUCAGGCUCAUAUGUUUAUGUUGUAACAUAUGAACCUGAGCAUCCCGAA